Molecule: ribosomal RNA, 270 nt
Filed under: uncultured bacterium
Lineage: Bacteria
Description: partial 16S ribosomal RNA
Rfam family: Bacterial small subunit ribosomal RNA
Source: RNAcentral
UUUGAUGGCGACCGGCGCACGGGUGAGUUACACGUAUCCAACCUGCCGAUGACUCGGGGAUAGCCUUUCGAAAGAAAGAUUAAUACCCGAUGGCAUAGUUCUUCCGCAUGGUGGAACUAUUAAAGAAUUUCGGUCAUCGAUGGGGAUGCGUUCCAUUAGGUUGUUGGCGGGGUAACGGCCCACCAAGCCUUCGAUGGAUAGGGGUUCUGAGAGGAAGGUCCCCCACAUUGGAACUGAGACACGGUCCAAACUCCUACGGGAGGCAGCAUG